GCCGGAGCGCCUUCGGACUCGGAGGACUCAGCUCGGUUUCCAUGGAGAAGAAAUAAGGAGCCUAUGAGGGAGACCUCGGAGGAAGGAGGCGGCGCCCGAGUGGUUUCCAUGGAGACAGCAGUGCGCGCGGGGAUGCAAGAAGAUCCUGAAGACGUACCUAUUUUCCCAGACUUUUAAUUGAAAUUGAAAUUUUGUAUGUUUUUAUUCAUUGAUAUUUUUAUCUGAUUUAUGAAUUUUAACUGUUUUAUAUUGUUUUUAUAUAAUGUUUUAACUUGUACACUGCCUGGAGAUUUUUCUAUCAGGUAGGAUAGAAAUUUGAUAGAUAAAUAAAUAAUAGUGCUGUGA
Hemicordylus capensis (graceful crag lizard) is the source of this 345-nucleotide long non-coding RNA. RefSeq lists it as uncharacterized. Lineage: Eukaryota; Metazoa; Chordata; Lepidosauria; Squamata; Cordylidae. The record is from RefSeq and is a predicted model, not a curated record. The transcript has 2 exons.